AACGCCUUCCAAUCCAAACCCUGGGGGACUUGUUGGUGAUUCUGAUGAUUGUUAGCGCUGGAUUAGCAAAUAAGAAAACGGUUCCUUGCAAAGGUGGAAAAGGCAAGUGGGCCCCACACCCUAGGCCACCCACGCCGCGAGAAGUAGAAUCCGGUCAUCCGCCAUUUUCGCGCUAAACCAGCCCAACUCAAAACCAAACCGCCGCAAAAUUUUCUCCGAUCCAUUUGAGAGUCAUCGUCGCCGCCGCCGCCGCCGCCACCGCUGAGAGGGAUCCGGUCGCCGGUUCAUGGCUGGUGCAGCGGCGGAAAUGGGGCGAGGAGCCGGCGCCGGGAGCGUUGAACGCAUCGAGUAUCUCUUCCUGCCGGGGUACGACUCUUCAGGGGUGGACAUCAGCACAACCUCAAGUUGGAAGUGACAAUGUGAUGCCGCAAUCACGAACACAAGACACGUGGAUAACCCUGAUGUUCUGAACGAAGGCAUUUGUAUGAUCCAAAAGUGAUCAUUUAAGUCAUUUAUUUCAAGGUAUAUCGUCCCUUGCUUAUCAAGGUGGAUCUGUGUAUGUUUUUAGCAAAUACUCCCGCCGUCCCAAAAUAAGUGACUCGACUUUGUAC
Triticum aestivum (bread wheat) is the source of this 611-nucleotide long non-coding RNA. RefSeq lists it as uncharacterized. Lineage: Eukaryota; Viridiplantae; Streptophyta; Magnoliopsida; Poales; Poaceae. The record is from RefSeq and is a predicted model, not a curated record. The transcript has 2 exons.